ACAGACAUCAUCAAUGGAAAGAUUGGUUACAACCAACAUGUAAUCUGAAACGAAUCUGAAAAGUUGUCCCGCAAGAGAUCUGGUAACGGGUCAAUCAAUAGGGACAAAACAUCAACAUUAUCUUUCCAACGUGAAUUUCCCGUUCUCUUAUGGACGUUCUCUUAUGGACGACGACGUCGACGAGAACUCGGAUAGUUGAGUUCAGAUGGAGACAAAACUCACCCGCCCAACACAACAGUUGUUGUUUGCUAUUUGGUAAGGCAGUAGCAAAACCUUAAACUCCUCCGGAAACAGUUUCCCUCAUCUUUGAGCUCGUGCUUGACAUUAGGAACAGGAAGAGAGGAAAUCUGUUAUGAUGCCCUCAACCUCGCUUUUCUUGGCAAUCCCGAUAAGUCGCUCUCACAACUCACAGCCGUUGUUCAGUACCAUUCCUGGGUUCUACCUGAGGAGCCAUAAAAGGCAAUAGAGGAGUGCCUGUGGAGGUCAAUAGGACACUGUUUUCCGAGCGGUUUCUCCAAAUGGGUCGGCAGUUUUCCGGGCCACAGGAGAGAGGUUCGAGCACGUUGUGCGGAAGUGGACGACCAAGAGGCACCAGGCUGGUGAGUGGUGACAGUGGUACACGUGAAAGUCAAUGAUCAAGCCGCUAAAAUCUACAGGAAGGGUGUCAAGCUCAAGUCGGGCGCGCCGGGGAGCAUGGAUGCCGUUGUUCGCAGGAUUACAUCUCCUUCAAUUGGGUCGUAAAAUCUUUGAAGCAGUGCAAUGACUGUGGACUUCCCAGAACCGCUGCCCCCAACAAGGCCUACUCUUUUACCUGCUGGAACCUUCAGAUUGAAGUCUUCUAAGAUCCGCAUAUCAGAGUCUAUGGUAGGAACCCGUCCAAUCAUCUCGGAGAUCCGGGAGGCAGCAGUCAUUGCCUCUGUAAUCCCAGUUAGAUUUGGGAGGGCACUCAAAAUACUCCUGCAAUCACCAAACCAGGGUGCUUAGUUUUAAAUUGAA
Long non-coding RNA from Juglans microcarpa x Juglans regia, 996 nucleotides. RefSeq lists it as uncharacterized. The record is from RefSeq and is a predicted model, not a curated record. The transcript is spliced from 3 exons. NCBI's taxonomy places the organism in Eukaryota, Viridiplantae, Streptophyta, Magnoliopsida, Fagales, Juglandaceae.